AAGGAAGACAAUUUCAAGGAUCAUGCUAAAUACAAAAGGCAGCCAAACACAACAUAUUAUUCUCAAGGUAAAGUGAAUAGGGCACUGUCACAUACCCACAUGCUAAUAGAUAAGUAGAUCCAGUGCAACACAUCCUGGAGUACAAGAAACAUGCACUCAAGGAAGUAUGACAGUGCCUUGGCGAUCAACGAGUAGUACAUUCUAGUUAUAGCUUCAUAA
RNAcentral lists this unclassified non-coding RNA (219 nucleotides) under Hevea brasiliensis (rubber tree). The record is from RNAcentral. Lineage: Eukaryota; Viridiplantae; Streptophyta; Magnoliopsida; Malpighiales; Euphorbiaceae.